CAGCGCACUCCGGGGUCGGUGUAAUUCCGAACCGGCGGUAUAGUCCGCGACCCGUCCGCAGCCAGCGGCCGGUUGACCAGGUGAGAUUCCUGGACCGACGGUGAAAGUCCGGAUGGGAGGCAGUGCGCGG
Molecule: non-coding RNA, 130 nt
Filed under: Streptomyces sp.
Lineage: Bacteria; Bacillati; Actinomycetota; Actinomycetes; Kitasatosporales; Streptomycetaceae
Also listed under: 6 other names
Description: FMN sequence
Rfam family: FMN riboswitch aptamer (RFN element)
About the family: The RFN element is a highly conserved domain that is found frequently in the 5'-untranslated regions of prokaryotic mRNAs that encode for flavin mononucleotide (FMN) biosynthesis and transport proteins.
Source: RNAcentral